This 433-nucleotide ribosomal RNA is filed under the name uncultured bacterium. RNAcentral's name for it is "partial 16S ribosomal RNA". It matches the Rfam family "Bacterial small subunit ribosomal RNA", at positions 29 to 507 of the family's 1533-position model. The record is from RNAcentral.
AGCGAACGCUGGCGGCAGGCCUAACACACGCAAGUCGAACGAACUCUUCGGAGUUAGUGGCGGACGGGUGAGUAACACGUGGGAACGUGCCUUUAGGUUCGGAAUAACUCAGGGAAACUUGUGCUAAUACCGAAUGUGCCCUUCGGGGGAAAGAUUUAUCGCCUUUAGAGCGGCCCGCGUCUGAUUAGCUAGUUGGUGAGGUAAAGGCUCACCAAGGCGACGAUCAGUAGCUGGUCUGAGAGGAUGAUCAGCCACAUUGGGACUGAGACACGGCCCAAACUCCUACGGGAGGCAGCAGUGGGGAAUCUUGCGCAAUGGGCGAAAGCCUGACGCAGCCAUGCCGCGUGAAUGAUGAAGGUCUUAGGAUUGUAAAAUUCUUUCACCGGGGACGAUAAUGACGGUACCCGGAGAAGAAGCCCCGGCUAACUUCGUG